GAUGAAGAACGUAGCGAAAUGCGAUAAGUAAUAUGAAUUGCAGAAUUCAGUGAAUCAUCGAAUCUUUGAACGCACAUUGCGCCCGCCAGUAUUCUGGCGGGCAUGCCUGUUCGAGCGUCAUUUCAACCAUCAAGCCCCCGGCUUGUGUUGGGGACCUGCGGCUGCCGCAGGCCCUGAAAACCAGUGGCGGGCUCGCUAGUCACUCCGAGCGUAGUAAUACAUCUCGCUCAGGGCGUGCUGCGGGUUCCGGCCGUUAAAAAGCCUUAUUUACCCAAGGUUGACCUCGGAUCAGGUAGGAAGACCCGCUGAACUUAAGCAUAUCAAUAAGCGGAGGA
Molecule: unclassified non-coding RNA, 335 nt
Filed under: soil metagenome
Description: partial contains 5.8S ribosomal RNA, internal transcribed spacer 2, and large subunit ribosomal RNA
Rfam family: 5.8S ribosomal RNA (bases 1-120)
Source: RNAcentral